UCGUAUGUAUGCGGCCAGAAAUACGCGCCGAGACGUAUUCGCUUCGGCAGUUGAUCGCGGCGCGAGCACAGUCGAACCUGCUCAGGUGCGACUUUCCUUCCGUUUUCCUCGUGCAUCGAGUGCGACGCGCAAACGUCGGAUCGGCAAACACGUGCGAUUACCGUUUACCUCGCCACAAUUCCCCAAAUUUACCGCUACAACUGGACCUACUUGGCGUUCUUUUGGCCACGUGUUACGUUCCAAGUGGCAGCAAAGGUGUAAUAUUUUAUGACCGGAGGAUAGAACUCGACUCGAUUCCGAUCCCCCUUUCCUUUCUUUCGCGUUUUGACGGUGGAGCAUUGACGGACGCCAGACAUGCCGUACUCGAUCUACAAAUGUAGAAGAACGUUUCUCCACGCGAUAUGUUCGUUCUCGAUUUGUGGACUGGUGAUGGCUCAACUGGAUACCAGAUACCCGGACCAAAGGAUAGUGUUCCCCGAUCGGGGCGAUCCGAGGGCGAGACAAACGGCGAAUCCUACGGUGGAGGAUGGGCCGAGUGCAGGAGGCGAAUCGUUGAAAUCGCUACAAUUAGGCAAGAAAAUCAGUUCCAUCAAUUCGAUCGACGAUUUCCUUAGAUUAGUCAAAGGUGUGCCACAGGAUAUAUCUUUCUUCUCUGUAAGCAGUAGAAUGGGAGAAACUGAACGUUCGAAUGCCGAGCGACCAAAUCAAGCUUUAUGUAUGCCUGAAUUACAAACAGUUCCUCUAUUAGAAAAUGACGAUCCAUCUAUUGUUUAUUAUCCAACUUGCACACGGAUCAAAAGAUGCGGAGGCUGUUGUAAUCACUCGUUUCUUUCUUGUCAGCCAACGGCUACGGAAACUCGAAAUUUCGAGGUAAGUGUGACGGCUCUUGAAUCCAGUAAUACAUUAAAAUAUCAAGGCAAACGUAUUGUACCGAUAGAGGAGCAUACGCAAUGCACGUGUGACUGCAAAAUAAAGGAGACGGACUGUAACAAGAAACAGUCUUAUGUACCGGAGGAAUGUACAUGUGUGUGCAACAACAUCGAUGAACAGAAAAAGUGUAAUGAAAGCAACAUGAAAAUAUGGCACCCAGAUCAUUGUAACUGUUCUUGCAGAGAACUACAGGAGUGUACAACUGGUUUUUAUUUCGACCAAAAUUCAUGCAGGUGUGAACGGAACAACAAGGAUUUGUAAUACGGGAAUAAUAUCUUUCCUUCCUUGCUGCAUUUCUAUUAUCUUGUAUAUCUUAUGCCUGCAAAUAUCUAGUAUUUGGUUUACAUCCACAAAGGAUUCUGAUUAUAGAUUCGGACAAACGCAAAGACCGGGUAAUGUAUCACCAAUAAUAAUUUCUCUAGAUUCAGAUGAUCCUAGAAGAAAACCUAAACCAGAUCCAGAAUAAUAAUUGGUAUAGAUUUUAAAACAAUUUAAUUUUUUAUCUUUGUGCCAUUUUGUUAUACACAUAAGUAUUGAUAUUAUUUAUGUAUUAAUAUUAAUAUUAGUUAUUGCAAAAAAUAAGUGAAUGUAUUUUUAUAUAU
This is an RNA transcript of Apis dorsata (giant honeybee), 1532 nucleotides long. RefSeq lists it as uncharacterized. The record is from RefSeq and is a predicted model, not a curated record. Lineage: Eukaryota; Metazoa; Arthropoda; Insecta; Hymenoptera; Apidae. The transcript has 6 exons.